CUAAUCAAGCUUUAAUCAAAUUCAAAGAAACUUCAAAGGAAUUACAAAGAAAUAAUAAGAAAGCUUAAUAAAAUAUUAGAAUGAUCACAAAUAUAUCUCAAAUACAUUUUAAUUCAAUCUUAAUUUAAUCCUAGUUAAAAUCCUAUUAGACUUCAUUCAAACUUUAGGCCAAAACUAACUAAAUCUUAAAUCCUAAAUAAACUCAAAUAAAAUCUUAAAUCCUAAAUCAAACCCUAAUCAAAUUUUAAACUCUAAAUCAAAUCCUAAUCAAUCCUAAACCAAAUUCUAACUAAAUUCUAAAUCCUAAAUCAAAUCCUAACCAAAUUCUAAUCCUAAAUCAAAUCCUAACCAAAUCCUAAUCUUAAAUCAAAACUUAACCAAAUCCUAAAUCCUAAACCAAAUCCUAACCGAAUCCUAAUCCUAAAUCAAAUCCUAACCAAAUCCUAAAUUCUAAACUAAAUCCUAAUCUUAAAUCAAAUCCUAACCAAAUCCUAAUCUUAAAUCAAAUCCUAACCAAAUCCUAAUCCUAAAUCAAAUCCUAACUGAACCAUAACCUUAAAUUAAAUCCUAACCAAAUCCUAAUCCUAAAUCAAAUCCUAACCAAAUCCUAAAACCAAACCCUAAAUCCUAAAUCAAACCCUAAUAAUUCCUACAACAGAUUUACACCUCAAUUACUAAUGAAUGAACUAUUGAUCUUAACUCAAAAUUUGCAUACUUUUUAACAAUUAAGUUAAAAACAAGCAUAAUUUUUUUGAAUAGGAUCAAAAUUAUCAAAUAGACAAUAGCCUCAAAAAUGUGCUUGGAUAUUAGUUAGCCUUCUUCUCUGACCUUGAUGCUAAUCUCCUAGAACCAAUAUCUCUCUUUUUCAUCAUUCGAUUGAUCUAAAAAAUUAAAAAUACAAAGAUAAAUAAGUCUUAUAUCUUCUCACAUAAAUUUUACUCCAAUCCAAUGAGUAGAUUGCAAGAAAUCUUAAAAACCCUCAUUAGACCUA
This 991-nucleotide long non-coding RNA is filed under the name Physcomitrium patens. RNAcentral describes it as "long non-coding RNA (PPAT_LNC002001)". Lineage: Eukaryota; Viridiplantae; Streptophyta; Bryopsida; Funariales; Funariaceae. The record is from RNAcentral.